This 118-nucleotide ribosomal RNA is filed under the name Arabidopsis suecica. Lineage: Eukaryota; Viridiplantae; Streptophyta; Magnoliopsida; Brassicales; Brassicaceae. The record is from RNAcentral.
GGAUGCGAUCAUACCAGCACUAAUGCACCGGAUCCCAUCAGAACUCCGCAGUUAGAGCGGCUUGGGCGAGAGUAGUACUAGGAUGGGUGACCUCCCGGAAGUCCUCGUGUUGCAUCCC